Molecule: ribosomal RNA, 501 nt
Filed under: uncultured bacterium
Lineage: Bacteria
Description: bacterial SSU rRNA
Rfam family: Bacterial small subunit ribosomal RNA
Source: RNAcentral
UAGUCCACGCUGUAAACGAUGAUCACUAGAUGUCCGGCGCUUCGGUGCUGGGUGUCCAGGCGAAAGCGAUAAGUGAUCCACCUGGGGAGUACGUUCGCAAGAAUGAAACUCAAAGGAAUUGACGGGGGCCCGCACAAGCGGUGGAGCAUGUGGUUUAAUUCGAUGAUACGCGAGGAACCUUACCAGGGCUUAAAUGCAUAACGAUCGUCAUGGAAACAUGAUUUUCUUCGGACGGAAUGCAAGGUGCUGCAUGGUUGUCGUCAGCUCGUGCCGUGAGGUGUCGGGUUAAGUCCCAUAACGAGCGCAACCCCUAUUCUUAGUUGCCAGCGGAUAAUGCCGGGGACUCUAAGAAAACUGCCAGUGUAAGCUGUGAGGAAGGUGGGGAUGACGUCAAAUCAUCACGGCCCUUACGUCCUGGGCUACACACGUGCUACAAUGGUCGGUACAGAGGGCAGCUACCUAGUGAUAGGAUGCAAAUCUCUAAAGCCGACCCUAGUUCGG